UACGAAGGGGGCUAGCGUUGUUCGGAAUUACUGGGCGUAAAGCGUGCGCAGGCGGCCGUCCAAGUCAGGGGUGAAAGCCCAGAGCUCAACUCUGGAAUUGCCUUUGAAACUGUUCGGCUUGAGUGCGGGAGAGGUGAGUGGAAUUCCCAGUGUAGAGGUGAAAUUCGUAGAUAUUGGGAAGAACACCGGUGGCGAAGGCGGCUCACUGGCCCGUUUCUGACGCUCAUGCACGACAGCGUGGGGAUCAAACAGG
RNAcentral lists this ribosomal RNA (253 nucleotides) under uncultured bacterium. RNAcentral's name for it is "partial 16S ribosomal RNA". It matches the Rfam family "Bacterial small subunit ribosomal RNA", at positions 524 to 776 of the family's 1533-position model. The record is from RNAcentral.